UACGUAGGGGGCAAGCGUUGUCCGGAUUCAUUGGGCGUAAAGAGCUCGUAGGCGGUUUGUCGCGUCUGCCGUGAAAGUCCGGGGCUCAACUCUGGAUCUGCGGUGGGUACGGGCAGACUAGAGUGAUGUAGGGGAGACUGGAAUUCCUGGUGUAGCGGUGAAAUGCGCAGAUAUCAGGAGGAACACCGAUGGCGAAGGCAGGUCUCUGGGCAUUAACUGACGCUGAGGAGCGAAAGCAUGGGGAGCGAACAGG
RNAcentral lists this ribosomal RNA (253 nucleotides) under uncultured bacterium. Its description in RNAcentral is "partial 16S ribosomal RNA". It matches the Rfam family "Bacterial small subunit ribosomal RNA", at positions 524 to 776 of the family's 1533-position model. The record is from RNAcentral.